UAUGAGUGACUCGACGUGCCUAGUUGUAAUGACGACGUCGUCCACGUAUGCUUCAACUGUCUUGCCGAUCUGUUUCUCUAGGCAUGUUUGAAUCAUGCAUUGGUAGGUGGCCCCGGUGUUUUUGAGCCCGAAGGGCAUGGUGUUGAAGUAGAAAGGCCCAUAUGGGGUAAUGAUGCCGUUGCGGCUUGAUUGUGGCACCCUGAUCCGCAUGGAGCAGGGGGCCUUCGCACGUCAGCCCAGGAUAACACCUGGCGCACGACAGGUCCAUAAUACAGCAUUCCAGGUACAAUAAUAUUCAUCAAAUACAUGUGCAUAAGCUUAUAUCAUUGAUGAAUACAAUCAUCUGGCAUAGCCCUAUGGCUAUUUGAAUGGCAGGGAAAGUCUAUUAAAAAUGGCGGCGGAUGUCUUGGUUUGGCGGCUCAUCAACUCUGGCUGGACUCCACAACUCACAGGACUGGCAAGGUUACAGCCUAGCAUGAUGGAUCAAGCGAACGAUUCGAGUAUCACCUACAAAACUGGCAUGACACGCCAGGUCAGUACAUUGAAUGUACUUGCAAGACAACCAAAUACAUAGCAUCCAAACAAGCAGAAGACAAGGCAAGAACCGAGCGCAUGUAACAGCAUAUCUCAUAUCAAUUACUAAACAUGGCAUGAUAAAGAUCAACUAAGCAUGAACAAUAUCAUAGCAUCUACUAACAUGACAGUAAUCAUGGCAUAUCAAAACCAGCCUCUACAUGGCAAUGGCAAAACAUAGCAUAUAAUCUCAAUCAUGGCAUAAUUUAACAUAUAAAUCAAAGCAUGGCAUGGCAUCAUGAAACUAUGCUGAAAAUAAACUACCGAUCAUAUCCCAUGCAGACAUAACAUGUUAACUAUAUGCAACCAUCUUCCGUUCUAUCAUGGUUCUUUAAAUGCAAAUAAUGAUAUAUUACUCAUGCAAUGCAACCAAACUUGUGCACCGAGUCCCUCGGACUCUCUUAUCCAACGGGUUGCCUCGCAACCGAACGGUGAUCUUUCCGGCGAUCACAACCACGACCAACACUUGGUCUCCAACACUCACCGAGACCUCGUCUCGUGGUCAUAUCAAACCAUUGCCCUGACUUCUCAUGACUAUCUCACAGUUCAAGUCACCAUAUUCUUCACAUCUUUAUUUACCAACUUAAUUAUUUCAGGUUUAUCCUCCAUUUCGACCAAGACCUGAUAGUGGGACCUACUACGAACUAUGUUGCUAUCGAUAGACUUUAUAUACACUCUGCAGUGGUAGCACACUGUACCCACACCACGGAACUCUUGGCCUCGUCAUCCCAUUCGGGUGGACCAACGGCAUUCCGACGAAACCGACCUACUGACGUGACACUCUCACAACCACUCUGACCCACUCCCAACUGGGCUAGUCCUGGGUGGCCCCGUGUCUACCAAAGACACAACGACCACCGUCGUGGCCAAAACGUCCCUCACGGGGACCGGUACAAAAGAUUAUAACAACGGGCACACAAGGUUAUGUCUGCCUACCUGAUCAGGGUAAGCAUGCCCAUAACCUUCCCUAGUUGGAGGCACUGGCGAGAGGCACGACAAUAGAUCGCAUUAAGGCCUCCCCAUAAGGCAAAUGUGGCCGCACUGAAAAAGUUUGAUUUGGUGGCACUAUGCCUCGAUCCCAUCGAUGACGGAGGAGGUUUGUUAUUAUUAAGUCAUUUUAUUUUCUUAUCCAUCAUCAUGAACAUGAAUGCAACAAUGAGCAUGCAGCAUACAAAUGCAUGAACAAAAUAUUGAACUUCUCAAGUGCACAACUAUAGCAUAAGGAACAUGACAAUACCAAGUAAUAGCAUAUCAACGGUGCAUUACAAUCCUCAUAACAUUUUAUAACAAAGACAUGCAAAUAAAGUAGAGUAGUGACAUGGCAUUAUCAAUAACAACAUUCUAAUUAGCAUGGCAAACGAUAUUGUGAAAACAGAAGCAUGCAUGACAGUCAUAAUGGAAUAACUGCAGACGAAAACGAUAUGAAACAACUUCAACUACACACACAAGGUGCAAGCAAAGUCAACAUGGAAGUUCGGGGCUCAUGAUAAGAGGUUGGCUUGCCUGGGGGGUCGACAAAUACUCCGGGAAAAAGUGCGGAACGAUCGCGGAAAGAUAUGCCGGAAACAGUUCUCUCUCGGAGGGGGCUGUUUACGGGCAAGGGAAAAAUGGGCAUUUUUAGAAUGUGCAAACAUAGAGAAAAUAGAAUUGAGCGUUGGAAUCACCUUAUUCGGAGUUACGGGUAAAAAGAUACGGAUGUUUAAAGCUCAGGGACUAGUCUGUAAAAAUACUUCUACAAGCAGGUCCCUGGUAGUUUGAAUAGAACGUGUCUUCUCUGAAAAUACGUUUUCCAGAGACGGAAACGUAUUCCCGGCAGAGGAGAAGUACGCUUUCUGAGAUUGAAAGCGUACUUUCCAGAAAUGCGCUUUCGCGCGGGGAAAGCGACUUCGCGGCGGGGCGCCGCCACUUAUCCGACGUGGCCAGCGGGUCAACACGGCAGCAGCGCGGCCGGGCGCCUGGGUCACUGCCAGGUGGGGUCAGGGAAAGGCGCGGGGCCCUCCUGGCCAGGUCAACGCCUCCUCCUGGCCGUCUCCUUCCUGCUCGCAACGCCGGCAACAGAGGGAGCCGGGCGCCGGCCUGGCCGUCGUCUAGCUGCUCCCCAGGGUCGGCCGACGAGCGGAGGGGCUCCGCCACUCAACGCCGCGCCCGUAGGUAGCCUGGGAAAGGCCCGGGGCAGCCUACAGCGCCGGGGCCGUGGAGGUCCGCGGCGCCCGGAGAAAGAGGGCGGCGGGGUCGGUGGUUGGGUGGCUCCUGUGGGGGAAAAGGACGGGCGGCGAGCCAGGGAGGAUCGCCGGAGAGUGGUGCGUCCAUCCAUGGGCUCGGACAGGGCAGGGGACGGCUGGAGAGAGGGGUUGGGCGCGGAACAGAGAGGUGGGCUCGCCGUAAAUCUGAGCGCUCCAGCGAGGGAUACGGUCGGGCUCAGGCGCUGGAGUGCUCUGGAGGAAUGGGGAAGGGGUUGGCUUGCUUGGAGAAGGCUCGGGCUGGCUAUUUAUAGCCGGGGCAAGGAGGGGAGGAGGUGGCACGCGGCGAGCGACAUGUCCGCGUGUCGGCGACGGCGCAGUGUCGGCAGGCGCGGCCAAGGCUCACGGGAAGCAGCGGGAAGGCGACGAGGAGGAUCAAGACGAGCAGCAGAGGCUCACGGAGACGAGAGGCGCUCGGGGACGAAAGGAGGAAGCGGACAGAGGCGAGGAAGAAGACGAGCUCACGGGCAUGCACUACUCGAGCGUUGGCACGGCUCGCCGGAGAAGAAAACGAAGGGAGCAAAAGAUCCAGAGGGAAGAGGGCGGCGAGGGGGAACUGUUGGGCAUUAAUGGCGAAGCCAGAGACGGUCGGAGCAGCGAUGCCGACGACAACAGUGGCUAGACCACCGUUUUGGCUGGCUGCCCUCGUAGUCACCACUGACAUGGCGCGCUCUGGGGAUUUUACUGAGGCCAGUUCAUGUCUACCGCGUAGUCCUUCCAGAGUGGAGUAUUACCAUGGUAAAGAAACGGGCAGAGACAAAAUGAGCUGAGUAAACCAAGCUCCACAAGUUUACUGCUGCAAACUUUACCACGGUCUAGAGAUUAAACCAGAGAGGGUAAAAGGUAAAAAUGGCGUCUGGGAGGCUUAGGGUAGCAAGGACUACGGUCCUGGAGAUUAUGAGAUAAUUUGGUCAAGUAUUUAGCAUAGUUGCUGUACAACUGCUAAAUCUGACCUAGAAACUGAAUGAGGAAGAAGCACUCACUAGGAGUGAUGGAUUGAGCUAAAACUUGGAAAAUUUUGAUAAUUUGGACAUACAAUGAUGCUGUAAAAAGUUCAUACCAAAUGGACUUACCAAAAUGGUACUUCCUUCACAGCUAUCAUUUCUGUCCAAAAACUUCAGAAAACUCCUCAGGGCAGUUGGCUAGAUGAAAUGAGCCAAAAUCUUGUGGAGAUAGAUCAUAUAGAUAGGCAAAGGCCUGGGAAAAUUAUCAGCCAUAAUGGAGCAAGAUAAAAUACACUUUCUUCACAAACUGAAAAAUUGGACAGAAACCAAGAAUUGCUCCUGUGCUCACAUAGUUCAAUGAAAUGAACUGAAUUUGGGUGGAGGCUAAUGAUUUGAGAUACUUGAGAGGAUGGAAAAGUUUCAUCCCAUUUGGAAACUCUAUGAAGGUACUUCCUUCACAAAGUUGCAUUCCGGUCAGAAACUUUGAAAAAUUGCACCGGGAGCUAGGAUGAAUGGAUUGAGCUCAUAUUCGGCAUCCAUGGGUUAUUUAUCAAUGUUACACACCCUGACAAAUUGCAGCUCAAGUGGAAUUAGGAAUAAAGCACUUCCUUUGCAAAAUUUCAGAGAAGGCAGAAACUUGUAUUGGAUCAUGUGCCAAAAUUUUGAACUGAGGAACAUGAGAUUAGGAUCGAACUAGUGAUUAUAUAGCAAGGACAAGCUCCACAAUUUAUGUGGUAAUUUUCUCCGCUAUAAAAAUAGUAGUUCCUUUGGAAAAUGGCAGAAAUGCAAUAUUGGCAUUAAAUAGGAAAAGGCAAUUUUCCUUAUUUAAUUAUGGCCAAUAUACUUGCCAGAGCUUGGAUUAAGCAUAAGUAUCAACUCCACCAAUUCUCAUGAAUUUAGGAGAUGUCUAGCUAUGCCUUUGGAUUUUAUUCCUUAGAAAGGCAAGAAAAGGAAUAAAUCACAAUUCAAAAAUAUUGCAUGGGACUUAGCAAUAUUUUUGCAUAUCUAAGGUUCAGAAAGAUAGGAUGAUCUCUGGGAACAAUUGGGAGGAUCAACAGAUCAAGGAAAAUGAUGGCUCCUUUGUAAGCACAAAGGACCUAUCCAAAUUCCAAAAAUUUGGAAUUAGGGUUUGAGAGGAUUUGAGCUGAUGCAAAUGAGGUCUUGCCCAAUGAAAAAAACAUGAGCAAGGUUUUGAAAGGUUCGAAAUGACAAAAAUUCCUCAGAGUCAUCCAGCAAACUCAGGAGAAAGAUUUUGAAAAUGAGUGCCAGGAAGGAAUAACAGCACAAAAAUUGAUAACCCAAUUUUGGGGCUGUUACAACUCUUCCCCCCCCCCCCCUUAAAAAGAAUCUCGUCCUCGAGAUUCCUAGGGUUACAACACAAUCGAAAAGAUAACCACUCCGGGGAAAAACCUCGGGGUUAAUUUUUUAACCCUUUGGUUAAAUUAAAACGAGAUAGGGGCACCGAUAAUUGGUACACCCGGAAAGGGGUAUGGCAUACCUGGAUAUAUCCACUGCUAGGGGCACUUGAGAUCAAACUCCCGAAAAAUGCUAGAUGCACCCAAUGAACAGUGGUUUCCCCUGCUGACACGUGGGUCCAGGGCCCACUGGCAGCCUCCUUCUUCUACCUCCAGCUUGCUGCUUCUCCUAUGCUGCUGCUCCGCGUGCGGCUUGGCGCAGCGCGCAUCUAGCUCCUAGGGCAAUGAGGACCCUAGAGCCAUAGUGCACGGCGUGCAUGGCGCCGGUGCAGCGAGCACUCACGUCGCGGGCCAGCACCUUGUCGGCACUGCUCGCGGAUUCGCCUCCUGGACGCCGGUGAUCGAGCGACGAGCGGUUCUCCUGGACCUCGCUCACCGUACACCGGGGUUGGGUUAUAAAAGACGGCAGCGCGGCUCUCCUCCAACGCACAAACACAAUGCCACUCUACUACCUCUUCGGUUUGGGCAAGAUCAAGCCGAGCUCCUUCGGCGAGCAGGUGUUCUUGGUGGCGUUGCGUUUGUUCCUCGCAGCGCUGCUGGGCACGCUGAUAGGCUCGUCACUCCUCCUGCUGAUUCUCAUCAGGAAUGAUCGAGCUCGGAACAACGCGCGACUGGGUGCGGUGGCUUGUGAUGCGGGAGAAGAUGGCGCACUGGGUGGUCCUCCGCCAUGCUUGAUUCUCCGUCGGUUUGCCCCGGCGGAGUAAUCGCAUGCUGCGGUGGAGCGGUGGUGGCGAUCAACCUGCGCCGCGCAAGGCAGAGCUGAUGGUGGUGAUGGGGUCCGGAUGUAGGUGAGGUGGCUGUGCUAGCUCGAAAAUCACACGGAGUACGAGGAAAAUUUCGUGGAUAGCUCCACGAAAUGUAGGUGUCAAGGUGGAAUCAAGUUGAAACUUGUAUCGGGGUAGAUGUACUGGAUCGAGGGAGUAAGGUUGGCAGUGUUCCUCCGGAAAUGAAAUUGGGAAAAAGAAUUAGAGACGGGGAAUUUCCGGGCGGAAAUGCCUCUGCGAGGUUCUUGAUUUGAAAAUCCGGCACACGGUGUAUGCACAGAUAAAUAGGGGUAUGUGACUUUGCAUUUCCCCGAGUACUGCCCGAAUGUACUCGUGGGUGAACCGGGUAUGUGUGCAGUAUGCAGUAAAAUCUAAGCUAGCAAACAGACAGGGGCAAUAAACAUGCAAUGAAAAACACACGAGACAAAUCAUACUAGAGUGUGUUCAUGCUAGUGGGUAUAUGUACUCCUGGCAUACAUAUACCUACACUAGCGCGCAUUUUAUUAUAGACUCGAGACGAGUCAAUGUUAUUUUAGUGUAUGUGAUCUACUAAUUAAAAUCUUGUUAGCAACAUAGUGUCAACCCUGUCAAACAUUUUUGCUUGACAGAGAGACAAGCAAAAACAAUACAAAAACAAAAGCACAAAAGCAUACAUGGAACACAACAUACGGAUUACAACAGUACUAGCAUACAACAGAGCACGAACGCUCUACGCACUAAAUGGAACAACUCAUUCCGGGAUACAUGGUUCUAUCCUCAUAUUGGGGAUGAACCGACAGACUGAUCACCUCACUGCGUGACUGAGGUCAUGCAGAGGACUUGCCUUGCUGGGGCUCUCCGGGAGGACGAAGACUGAGCCAAUCUCCAUCUUCAUCGUCUGACAGCACUAUGGGUUGGGGUUCGGCUGCUGGGGGUGUGGCUGAAAUUGAUCCGAGCAAAUGCUGCUGGUGGAUCCGUAAAAGAGCCUUGUCGAGGGUGACGAUGUUGGGUCUAGGCUACAACACAGGCUGAGAGGAUAGCACUGGUUCGGAUGGCAUUGGGCAAAUGACUUGAGAUGCGAAUUUACGAGCCUCGCGGUAAGCUUCCUUGACGACUCGCACUGCAUCGUUGUCCAGAGUUCUAAACUCGGCAGGCAUCUGGGAAAUCAUCAUCCCCUGGGCGGUGAUAUACUGCACCAAGCGAGCGAUUGCGGGGUCAUCUCCUUGGAUAGCGGGAGAAGGCUGCAUUCCUAGUUCUGUCACAAUGGGGUAAAAGAAGAAAUCCCGCCUCGCAGCCAUAUGCGGGUACCUGGUUCGGAGGUGAAGCAUAGCCUCCACAGUAGCGGCCUGAAUGGCUAAAUCAGAGGUACGCAUAGCUCUACCCUGAAAAACCAACGGCUGGCCAUCUGCCGCGGGACCUAGGCUGAUGUGCACUCUUACAUCAAAGCGAUGAAGGUGAGGGACGGGUGCUGAUUGGAACACCAGGUAAUCGGGGCUAUCCUUACAGCCAAAGGCUUUGGUGAGCAUCUUAGUAAGAAGGGGUGGAAAGCCAGUGUGGUUGACGGCACCUGUGCGGGUGUAAAGCUUGGGAGCUUUGAAGGUGCCAGCCAUGGCUGGAGUGCUACUAGCUAGGCUUCUCCGCAGGGACAUGGCUGACUGAGGGGUGAGCGAUACGGCGAGCGGAAAGGGGGUUUUUAUAGGCAGCUAGGCAGGACAUGCCCGCAUGGUGUGGCCCCUUUCCCUUAAUGGCGAAGGGUGAGCGGUGCGGCCGACCGGAAAGGAUGCGGUUGCUAUUCGUUCCACGGAUAACUAGGCGGGGAUAGCGGGGUGAGGACGUGUCGGUCCCGACUGCGCCACCUGUUGAUUAACAGUGGCCAUGCCGGAUGCCAGGGAUGCCCUUAGGGCCAUUACGGGUUAAUGGUAGCGGUGAUCUAAUGCUAGGAUAACCUAUGCCAGCCUGGCUGCUCUGAUACCAUGUCCUGUGGCACCCCGAUCCGCAUGGAGUGGGGGCCUUCGCACGUCAGCCCAUGAUAACACCUGACACACGACAGGUCCAUAAUACAGCAUUCCAGGUACAAUAAUAUUCAUCAAAUACAUGUGCAUAAGCUUAUAUCAUUGAUGAAUACAAUCAUCUGGCAUAGCCCUACGACUAUUUGAAUGGCAGCGGAAGUCUUGGUUUGGCGGCUCAUCAACUCUGGCUGGACUCCACAACUCACAGGACUGGCAAGGUUAUGGCCUAGCACGAUGGAUCAAUCGAAUAAUUCAAGUAUGACCUACAAAACUGGCAUGACACGCCAGGUCAGUACAUUGAAUGUACUUGCAAGACAACCAAAUACAUAGCAUCCAAACAAGCAGAAGACAAGGCAAGAACCGAGCGCAUGUAACAGCCUAUCUCAUAUCAAUUACUAAACAUGGCAUGAUAAAGAUCAACUAAGCAUGAACAAUAUCAUAGCAUCUACUAACAUGACAGUAAUCAUGGCAUAU
Molecule: long non-coding RNA, 8458 nt
Filed under: Triticum aestivum (bread wheat)
Lineage: Eukaryota; Viridiplantae; Streptophyta; Magnoliopsida; Poales; Poaceae
Description: long non-coding RNA (TAES_LNC004233)
Source: RNAcentral